RNAcentral lists this ribosomal RNA (432 nucleotides) under uncultured bacterium. Its description in RNAcentral is "bacterial SSU rRNA". It matches the Rfam family "Bacterial small subunit ribosomal RNA", at positions 958 to 1386 of the family's 1533-position model. The record is from RNAcentral.
AACGCGAAGAACCUUACCCAGGCUUGAACAGCGAGUGACCACUCCUGAAAGGGAGCUUCCGCAAGGACACCCGUAGAGGUGCUGCAUGGCUGUCGUCAGCUCGUGUCGUGAGAUGUUGGGUUAAGUCCCGCAACGAGCGCAACCCUUGUCUUCUGUUGCCAUCAGGUUAUGCUGGGCACUCUGGAGAGACUGCCGGUGAUAAACCGGAGGAAGGUGGGGAUGACGUCAAGUCAGCAUGGCCUUUAUGUCUGGGGCUACACACGUGCUACAAUGGCCGGCACAAACCGUCGCGAGCCCGCGAGGGGGAGCUAAUCGGAUAAAGUCGGUCUCAGUUCGGAUCGUAGGCUGCAACUCGCCUGCGUGAAGUUGGAAUCGCUAGUAAUCGCGGAUCAGCACGCCGCGGGAAUACGUUCCCGGGUCUGUCACCGAAGG